RNAcentral lists this ribosomal RNA (388 nucleotides) under Prasinoderma sp. RNAcentral's name for it is "partial small subunit ribosomal RNA". It matches the Rfam family "Eukaryotic small subunit ribosomal RNA", at positions 582 to 975 of the family's 1831-position model. Lineage: Eukaryota; Viridiplantae; Prasinodermophyta; Prasinodermophyceae; Prasinodermales; Prasinodermaceae. The record is from RNAcentral.
AUUCCAGCUCCAAUAGCGUAUAUUUAAGUUGUUGCAGUUAAAAAGCUCGUAGUUGGAUUUUGGGUCGGGGGCACCGGUCCGCCGUUCCGGUGUGCACUGGUGGCCCCUUCCUUUCUGCCGGGGACGUGCGUCGCACUUCAUUGGGUGGCGUUCGGAGUCGGCGUUGUUACUUUGAAAAAAUUAGAGUGUUCAAAGCAAGCCAUCGCUCUGAAUACAUUAGCAUGGAAUAACAUGAUAGGACCCCGGUCUUAUUUUGUUGGUUUCCGAGACUGGAGUAAUGAUUAAGAGGGACAGUCGGGGGCAUCCGUAUUUCAUUGUCAGAGGUGAAAUUCUUGGAUUUAUGAAAGACGAACUUCUGCGAAAGCAUUUGCCAAGGAUGUUUUCAUCG